This 1131-nucleotide long non-coding RNA is filed under the name Oncorhynchus kisutch (coho salmon). RNAcentral describes it as "lncRNA (ENSOKIG00005037382.1)". Lineage: Eukaryota; Metazoa; Chordata; Actinopteri; Salmoniformes; Salmonidae. The record is from RNAcentral.
UUGGAUUGACACAUUAUGCAAGCCAAGUUUUCUACAAUGCAUUAUUCUACUCAUGUUCUUUACUAUCAUUUCAGUAAUUUUCUGUGAUAAUCUUCCCUUUUAAAUACGAAGUGAUGUACAGUGUAGCCUGGCUUGACAUAGCAGGCCUUGAGUGGACAGAAGAUGUGGCUGUAGACAGAAGAUGCGGACAGAGUGGACACAAAAAAAGUGGACAGAAGAUGCUUGGACAGAAGUGGUCAGAAGAUGCGGCUGCUUCAGCAAGCAUGAGCUGAAAAGCACUACUUUGGAGGUGAUGAAGUGAGUGAGACUCGCAAUCACUCUUCUUUCUACUGGGGCCCAGCCGAGGUUGGUGAAAGUGAUCAGUCCUCCUAUUAGAUUUGAAUAACACUGUAUCAUAUGAUGGGAUGCAUUGGAUGUUUCUGUUCAUUUUACAGUUAUAGCUAUAACAUCCCAUCUGCAUAUGAGCAACCUUGAAACACAAUCUGUAGUAGAAGCCCUAAUUUUGACAAUUACAGUCAGUUAGCAUGUACUUGUCGAAUACCAACCACAACCUGUCUAUGGGUUAUCCAUCAUAGCAAAUACAUUCCAAUGUUUCUUUCUUUCUUGACUUAUCCCUUCCACUGACACACACAUUCAGUCUCCGCUUUACGCAGGUUAACUUUCUUAUCUGACUCUUGAACCUUGAGUUACAUGGCAGUCUCAAGAGAUAACUAAGCCUACAUAUUCCACUUUUACGGCCCCAGACCCAUACCAUACAUCAAAACAUACACUGCCUUCCAUCCUAUUUCAGUUUUACUAAGAAAUGAUUCAACAUAAAACCAUAAAUGUAUGUUUUCCCUGGGAGAGUAUGUAUGGAAUAUAAACAGCACAAUAGGCCUAUCCACCAACAGCAGUAGUCAUAUACAUAUUGGGGAAAAGCCAGCAUGUUAUGUUUUAUCAGUUGAUGCUUAAUGGUAAAAUGGGGCUUUAUUAUUUGAGUUAUAAUAUAUGCAUGGGAAAAUAGAAAUGUGUCCUUUUCCAAUUGUAUUCCCAUAUAGAAUUAUUGGCCCUUUUCGUCCUCCUCCUCGUCUUGUAGAAUAGAUACAGUAUGUAGGGUAAUUGAUAUGCCUUAACAGAGGUCUUGAUUUGCAU